UAUCCGGAUUUAUUGGGUUUAAAGGGUGCGUAGGCGGUUUGAUAAGUUAGAGGUGAAAUUUCGGGGCUCAACCCUGAACGUGCCUCUAAUACUGUUGAGCUAGAGAGUAGUUGCGGUAGGCGGAAUGUAUGGUGUAGCGGUGAAAUGCUUAGAUAUCAUACAGAACACCGAUUGCGAAGGCAGCUUACCAAACUAUAUCUGACGUUGAGGCACGAAAGCGUGGGGAGCAAACAGGAUUAGAUACCCUGGUAGUCCACGCAGUAAACGAUGAUAACUCGUUGUCGGCGAUACACAGUCGGUGACUAAGCGAAAGCGAUAAGUUAUCCACCUGGGGAGUACGUUCGCAAGAAUGAAACUCAAAGGAAUUGACGGGGGCCCGCACAAGCGGAGGAACAUGUGGUUUAAUUCGAUGAUACGCGAGGAACCUUACCCGGGCUUGAAAGUUAGCGACGAUUCUUGAAAGAGGAUUUCCCUUCGGGGCGCGAAACUAGGUGCUGCAUGGUUGUCGUCAGCUCGUGCCGUGAGGUGUCGGGUUAAGUCCCAUAACGAGCGCAACCCCUACCGUUAGUUGCCAUCAGGUGAAGCUGGGCACUCUGGCGGGACUGCCGGUGUAAGCCGAGAGGAAGGUGGGGAUGACGUCAAAUCAGCACGGCCCUUACGUCCGGGGCUACACACGUGUUACAAUGGUAGGUACAGAGGGCAGCUACCCAGCGAUGGGAUGCGAAUCUCGAAAGCCUAUCUCAGUUCGGAUUGGAGGCUGAAACCCGCCUCCAUGAAGUUGGAUUCGCUAGUAAUCGCGCAUCAGCCAU
This 809-nucleotide ribosomal RNA is filed under the name human gut metagenome. Its description in RNAcentral is "bacterial SSU rRNA". It matches the Rfam family "Bacterial small subunit ribosomal RNA", at positions 542 to 1355 of the family's 1533-position model. The record is from RNAcentral.